GACGAACGCUGGCGGCGUGCCUAAUACAUGCAAGUUGAGCGCUGAAGGUUGGUACUUGUACCGACUGGAUGAGCAGCGAACGGGUGAGUAACGCGUGGGGAAUCUGCCUUUGAGCGGGGGACAACAUUUGGAAACGAAUGCUAAUACCGCAUAAAAACUUUAAACACAAGUUUUAAGUUUGAAAGAUGCAAUUGCAUCACUCAAAGAUGAUCCCGCGUUGUAUUAGCUAGUUGGUGAGGUAAAGGCUCACCAAGGCGAUGAUACAUAGCCGACCUGAGAGGGUGAGCGGCCACAUUGGGACUGAGACACGGCCCAAACUCCUACGGGAGGCAGCAGUAGGGAAUCUUCGGCAAUGGACGAAAGUCUGACCGAGCAACGCCGCGUGAGUGAAGAAGGUUUUCGGAUCGUAAAACUCUGUUGGUAGAGAAGAACGUUGGCGAGAGUGGAAAGCUCAUCAAGUGACGGUAACUACCCAGAAAGGGACGGCUAACUACGUG
This 497-nucleotide ribosomal RNA is filed under the name uncultured bacterium. Its description in RNAcentral is "partial 16S ribosomal RNA". It matches the Rfam family "Bacterial small subunit ribosomal RNA", at positions 28 to 507 of the family's 1533-position model. The record is from RNAcentral.